GGAAUCUUCCACAAUGGGCGAAAGCCUGACGGAGCAACGCCGCGUGUGUGAUGAAGGGUUUCGGCUCGUAAAACACUGUUGUAAGAGAAGAAUGACAUUGAGAGUAACUGUUCAAUGUGUGACGGUAUCUUACCAGAAAGGAACGGCUAAAUACGUGCCAG
This 161-nucleotide ribosomal RNA is filed under the name uncultured bacterium. Its description in RNAcentral is "partial 16S rRNA". It matches the Rfam family "Bacterial small subunit ribosomal RNA", at positions 358 to 511 of the family's 1533-position model. The record is from RNAcentral.